Molecule: long non-coding RNA, 1491 nt
Filed under: Ictidomys tridecemlineatus (thirteen-lined ground squirrel)
Lineage: Eukaryota; Metazoa; Chordata; Mammalia; Rodentia; Sciuridae
Description: lncRNA (ENSSTOG00000030985.1)
Source: RNAcentral
AGCAGGAGAAAACUAGGUUAAAUGGAGAAAGUGAUCAUCUGCCUGGAAGAUGCUCUAGAAUAGAAGCUCUGGAGUCAGUGUCAGGGUCUUUCCCGUCUCAGGAUGAGAUGGAGCCCGGAGUAGCCCGGAGCAGCCUCCCUGGAGCCCGGCUGGGCUGGCUAAGCUCAGCUCUGCACUGGAAGAUUCCCUGCGUCUUAAGUCACAGAAAGCCCCUUGGCCUUUGGAUGGCAAAACAUCUGGGUCGGGGCUGGAUGGGAAUGCGUCACAGUGGCUUUUCUUUCCGGAUGAGUAAAGCUUUCUUUGAUGCCCGCGGCCUUUUCUCCACCAACACAAAACCACAGCCCCCGCCCCGGGCCGGGGAAGGAGAUGGUGGCGUGCACUGUCAGUAGAAGAGACAGGCUUGCCCACCCCAGUCCUCCCCUAGUUCACCAUGACCGUGGCCUUGUGUGGAAGUGCUACCCUGGAGGGCACGCGGCUCACGAAGCCACACCCUUUCGUGACCAGUGAGAACCUUGCCAAACCAAGCAGGCCAGGUGUUUCCUGCUUCUUCCUCAGCUCUGCGGUGGCUCUUGGUGUGUUGAAGCAGAACUAUGUCUCCAAAGACCUGGGGCCAGGCUUCGUGUGCACUCCGCGGGCUUUUCUCACCUGUCUGUUUUAUCAGUGUUUAUUGAGCGUGUAGUAAGUGCAGAGCCAAGAAGAGAUGACAGUUCCAUCCUCACUGCACAGAACUGUUCGGCCUUUUCUUUGUCCUUGAACCAAACUCAAGGUCAACCUGGUGUCCAUGUGCUUUGCUAAGAUGCUGAAGAUGCUGGGGUUUACGGCUCCCGGGACAUUCUUUUCAAGGUUGUCUGUGUGUAACGGAAGGUGGAGGUGCCCUAAGGAACAAUGGGUACCUCUUAAGCCCUUGCAACCGAAUGGAAGCUACCUUCAUUGCAGGGAGGCCCUCUGGGGUCCUUGACAUUGUCACUGCGGUUCCCACGAGUACCUUUCUCUCUGUCACGGAGCCCACACCACUUGGUCUGUCUCUAAACAUCCCUGACAAAGGAGUGCUCCCUGGGCCAGUUUUCUUCAAAAUGGCCCCUCAGCACCGCCGCGUCACCGAGUCCCCUGCCCCGACUCAUCCCUCGGCACUGACCUUACACAGAACUUAUCCGUGUGGCAAUUGCAAGAGAAGUAACGUCGUGUCACCCCACUGCCAACCACACUGCAGCCUGUUAACUCGGGGAGAGUGGACGUUGGACAGGCAAGUUGCCUCGGUGGAAUGCGGAGCUCUUACCUCGCGAUGAGGAAACCUGGCCCUUCUAGGGGGCAUGUCAGGGUCCACUAUUUAAACUACAGCAGAUUUAAUGAGCCUGCUGUGUCACUUUAUUGCCGUCACUCGCUGUGUUUCUAAGCCACCAAGGGCAGCAUCUCAUGUAACAGAAAGUGAUCAAAUAAAGCAGCAGAUGGAAUUUUUUAUAUCUAACAUCCAAUUAAAAGAUUUCCUUUAAG